Long non-coding RNA from Xenia sp. Carnegie-2017, 116 nucleotides. RefSeq lists it as uncharacterized. The record is from RefSeq and is a predicted model, not a curated record. The transcript is spliced from 2 exons. NCBI's taxonomy places the organism in Eukaryota, Metazoa, Cnidaria, Anthozoa, Malacalcyonacea, Xeniidae.
UUUUUGGAAAUCCGUUUUUGAUUGUGAGCAACGAAACAAGACAUUGUUUACAUGGGAGCGCGAAAGACAGCAGAGGCACUCGCAGACACGACGUAAAAAGUGACCAUGAUUAUGAA